GACGAACGCUGGCGGCGUGCUUAACACAUGCAAUUUGAACGGACCUCCUGACCGGUUGGUUUUGUGGUUAGUGCCGAACCGUUGAGGAACUCGUGAGUAACCUGCCCUUCUCGUCGGGGUAACUGCCGGAAACGCUGGCUAAUACCGGAUAUUCCUAUUCUGUCGCGUCGUGGUGGGUGGAAAGCUUGUUUGGUGGGGGAUGGACUCGCGGCCUAUCAGCUUGUUGGUGAGGUAGUGGCUUACCAAGGCUUUGACGGGUAGCCGGCCUGUGAGGGCGACCGGCCACACUGGGACUGAGAUACGGCCCAGACUCCUACGGGAGGCAGCAGUGGGGAAUAUUGCACAAUGGGCGGAAGCCUGAUGCAGCGACGCCGUGUGCGGGAUGACGGCCUUCGGGUUGUAAACCGCUUUCAACUGUGACGAAUUUGACGGUAGCAGUAGAAGAAGCACCGGCUAACUACGUGCCAGCAGCCGCAGUAA
RNAcentral lists this ribosomal RNA (480 nucleotides) under uncultured bacterium. Its description in RNAcentral is "partial 16S ribosomal RNA". It matches the Rfam family "Bacterial small subunit ribosomal RNA", at positions 28 to 523 of the family's 1533-position model. The record is from RNAcentral.